RNAcentral lists this microRNA precursor (129 nucleotides) under Dasypus novemcinctus (nine-banded armadillo). Its description in RNAcentral is "miRNA (ENSDNOG00000027798.1)". The record is from RNAcentral. Lineage: Eukaryota; Metazoa; Chordata; Mammalia; Cingulata; Dasypodidae.
CAUAACGCCCUAUUAAAUUUGAAUCUCUGAUAAACAAAUAAUUUUUAAAGUGUAAGUAUAUCCCAUGGAUAUUUGGGACAUACUUAUUCUGAAAAGUAUUUACUGUUUAUCUGAAAUUCAAAUUUAAAU